CUGUCACUUAUAGAUGGAUCCGCGCUGCAUUAGCUAGUUGGUAAGGUAACGGCUUACCAAGGCAACGAUGCAUAGCCGACCUGAGAGGGUGAUCGGCCACACUGGAACUGAGACACGGUCCAGACUCCUACGGGAGGCAGCAGUAGGGAAUCUUCCGCAAUGGGCGAAAGCCUGACGGAGCAACGCCGCGUGAGUGAUGAAGGUCUUCGGAUCGUAAAACUCUGUUAUUAGGGAAGAACAUAUGUGUAAGUAACUGUGCACAUCUUGACGGUACCUAAUCAGAAAGCCACGGCUAACUACGUGCCAGCAGCCGCGGUAAUACGUAGGUGGCAAGCGUUAUCCGGAAUUAUUGGGCGUAAAGCGCGCGUAGGCGGUUUUUUAAGUCUGAUGUGAAAGCCCACGGCUCAACCGUGGCGGGUCAUUGGAAACUGGAAAAC
This 437-nucleotide ribosomal RNA is filed under the name Staphylococcus aureus. RNAcentral's name for it is "bacterial SSU rRNA". It matches the Rfam family "Bacterial small subunit ribosomal RNA", at positions 212 to 641 of the family's 1533-position model. Lineage: Bacteria; Bacillati; Bacillota; Bacilli; Caryophanales; Staphylococcaceae. The record is from RNAcentral.